RNAcentral lists this unclassified non-coding RNA (238 nucleotides) under uncultured fungus. RNAcentral describes it as "sequence contains 5.8S rRNA gene". The stretch from base 1 to 53 matches the Rfam family "5.8S ribosomal RNA", at positions 102 to 154 of the family's 154-position model. Lineage: Eukaryota; Fungi. The record is from RNAcentral.
GAACGCACAUUGCGCCCCUUGGUAUUCCGGGGGGCAUGCCUGUUCGAGCGUCAUUAACACCACUCAAGCCUGGCUUGGUAUUGGGGUUCGCACACCAGCGGCUCCUAAACUCAGUGGCGGUGCCGUAGGGCUCUUAGCGUAGUAAUUCUUCUCGCUACAGGGUCUUCCGGUGUCUUGCCAUAACCCCAAAUUUUUAAGGUUGACCUCGGAUCAGGUAGGGAUACCCGCUGAACUUAAG